RNAcentral lists this long non-coding RNA (203 nucleotides) under Elaeis guineensis (African oil palm). Its description in RNAcentral is "long non-coding RNA (EGUI_LNC065999)". The record is from RNAcentral. Lineage: Eukaryota; Viridiplantae; Streptophyta; Magnoliopsida; Arecales; Arecaceae.
UGUAGAGAAAAACAAUUUACAGAUGAUUUCAAAGCUCUUAACUUUACUGACCAUAGAAAAUCGUAAGUAGUAUCAUCACUGCGAUUCAUAAUUGAAGUAUUUUCGGUCUGUUGAGACUCUGUAAAUCCAAUUACAACAACUUUAAAACCCGGGCUUCAAGCUUGAGUGCUCGGAGUCAGCUUUGCCUCACAAUCUGUAUAACC